Molecule: long non-coding RNA, 2468 nt
Organism: Micropterus salmoides (largemouth bass)
Lineage: Eukaryota; Metazoa; Chordata; Actinopteri; Centrarchiformes; Centrarchidae
Exons: 4
Source: RefSeq, a predicted model, not a curated record
GGAAAAAUGUCUGCACACCAUUGGACUCAAAAUAAUAACUCUUUGUGAAAGCAACGGUUUGAUCUGAUCUCAUAGAUCAAAACAUUGCCUUCAAUAGUUUUAUGAGGAGUUGUUGAGACGGUGUGCAGAGCUUUGUCCUUUGUGUCCUGCAGUGAUAUUUUUUGUCUUUCACUUGAGUACUUUUGACUGGAUGUGCACACACUUGGCACCUCUGGAGGUUUUAUACCAAUGACAACCAUACAAACAACUGAAAACACAUUGUAUAAAACCUUUUCACGCAAACAAAUGUAGCUCAGAUCAAAUCACAGAUCACAAUAAUGUGAGAAGUAGUAAAACCUUUCAACAUAGACAAACUGAUGCACACAUAGAAGUGUGUGUAAGAUGUGUUUAAUGCAGUGAAUGCUGCAUGUUUUCUAGUUUGCUUGCUACUGUUUAGCACACACUCUUUUUGCAAAGACAGACAUAACACCACACUCAGACACACUGUGAGGACAACAUUUACAGAUUUUCUGUUUUUGUUUUCUUUUUAUUCACAAGGAGAAGGAGUUGAGGAGGACUCUGCAGCUGAUGAGGCUCGUCCAGGAAGGUCAGGGAAGACGGGGAAAUCCAGAGACCUGGAACAUGAACGUCCAGAAAAGUAGGAGAAUGAGGGGGCCUGGAUUGAAGGAGGCAAGACAAAUGGGGAUACCAUGCCAGUCUGCAACCUGCCAAAGGUUCACUAAACUCUACUGCAGAAAAGCAGAAGACACAUCAUAAGAACAAGAUUUCUAAGUAUUUCUGGGCGAAUUUGGACUGAUUGUGAAGUCUGUGGUGGAGGGGAGCAGUGUAAAGCGGCGGCGGACAGGAGCAGAUGAAUCCAGAAGGUCAGCAUCCAUUAUUUGUCACCUUGUAGUAGAUUGGAGAAGAAUCUGAGUGUGCCAACGCUUGUUCCUGUCAACAUUAGGCAUAAAGCAGUGGUGUUUAUUUAAGUGGACAGGAAGAAGAGGAGAAAGUCAUGAGAAGACUGAGGACAGGAACGGAAGGAAAAGUGCCCACACAGGAAGGAGGAAACCCACACAGACACAGGGAGAACAUGCAUUCUCCACACAGAAAGGUCUGGGAUGACAGGUUCGAAAAUUAGAUCUUCUUGCUGUGAGUCCACAGUGCUUUCUGCAGUCCUUCCAUAAGAUCUUCCUUCUGGACCUUUGGAAAGUUCAAUGGCACUUCUGUAGGUCCUCUUCAUCGAAAGGUGUACCUGGAGCUUGUAUUCAAGUCCAUCAGUCACCUGCACACUGAAAAGACCAGUGCGAUGCCUACUGUUCAUUCAAGCCUGGAAACAUCGAAGCAGCUUCAUGGGACACAAAGGCUGCGAAGCAGAAGGACAAAGAAGAUGCAGAUAAGAAGACCUUGUUGGCGCUCACUCCAAUUCCAGGCCAUACUGUGUGAGAUACAACGUGGAUGGCACCGCUCAGAUGACUGGGAAGCCUAUCUGUCCCCAUCUCUUAAAAGAAGAGUAUCACCACAGCAGCCCCACUGUGCGCAUCCAGCCAGCCAGUUAAAGAGCUGAAGUUCAAACAGCCCCAAGAAAUGAAGGUUUUGCCCAAGAACUUCCACUCACCCUACGAUGGACUGGACCACAAGUGAUGCCCGUCACCAGCUGGAGCCUCACGCAGACGCACACACACACACUGAUGUACUUGGGCUAUAUUGGUUACAGUUGUAAUUAUAUUUUUGCAUUAUUUUUUAAAUACCUUUACUGGUUUUAAUGGUUUUAAUAUAAUUCCUAAUUGUUCAAAGUAUUAAGUCAAAUAUCUAGUAGUAGUAAAGACUCCAAUCAAUUGUCUCUCACAAAUAGUCUGACAGAUUCUUUAUCCUGGUUGUUCAUAAUAAUAAUUUUGAAUGUUGUGUGGAUUACACAGUAAAAUAAAUUUCAACCUUUACUGAUUAAACCGAUUUCAUUUUGUCAUUAUCAGCCAACAUUAUUCACAAUGUAAAGACAGCUUAUUGAUGAUUAACAUGAUUUCAAAACAUGCAUCUUAUUAUUUAGCUUAGGUAUCAUCAGAAGGUAUGCGUUCACAAAGACUUCCUCAAAAAUGUCCAUUUCAGAGGAAAGCAAUGCAGCGUUUUUUUAAAACCAAGUAUCUUAAUAGCCUGCAGAUGCCUUUUCAGAAUCAGAAGGAGCUUUAUUGUCAAGUAGUGUUUUACACAUACGAGGAAUUUGCUGUGGUGAUAAGGUGCUACACGUAGACAAACAUACAGUCAACAUAAAUAAAUGUGGAAAUAUAUAAAUAUGGAAUAAGAUAAGUUUGUGUAGCAACUUGUAUAGUGUAGUGUUUUGGGGUAACCUAAAUAUUAUCGCAGGAGUCCGGAAGGAUAGCUUUGGAUAAAUAAAUAAAAAGUUUCCAGCCAGGGAAUAAAUGACAAGCUGUGUUUUCCCUGAAUCGACUGAAACACACGUUUGUGUCAGGUUGCCUUUGGCCAGGAUUUAG